AGGGCACCACCAGGAGUGGAGCCUGCGGCUUAAUUUGACUCAACACGGGAAAACUCACCCGGCCCGGACACUGGAAGGAUUGACAGAUUGAGAGCUCUUUCUUGAUUCAGUGGGUGGUGGUGCAUGGCCGUUCUUAGUUGGUGGAGUGAUUUGUCUGGUUAAUUCCGAUAACGAACGAGACUCUAGCCUACUAAAUAGAUCGUCGGCUUACAAACGCCGACGAGACUUCUUAGAGGGACAGGCGGCGAUUCAGCCGCACGAAACAGAGCAAUAACAGGUCUGUGAUGCCCUUAGAUGUCCGGGGCCGCACGCGCGCUACACUGAAGUGAUCAGCGUGCAAUUUACGUUUGGUGAUCUGUCAAGAUUGCCCAACCCGUUGAACCUUCUUCGUGAUUGGGAUAGGGGAUUGUAAUUAUUCCCCUUGAACGAGGAAUUCCCAGUAAGCGCAAGUCAUAAGCUUGCGUUGAUUACGUCCCUGCCCUUUGUACACACCGCCCGUCGCUACUACUGAUUGAAUGA
RNAcentral lists this ribosomal RNA (519 nucleotides) under uncultured eukaryote. Its description in RNAcentral is "SSU rRNA". It matches the Rfam family "Eukaryotic small subunit ribosomal RNA", at positions 1161 to 1696 of the family's 1831-position model. The record is from RNAcentral.